Molecule: ribosomal RNA, 468 nt
Filed under: uncultured bacterium
Lineage: Bacteria
Description: partial 16S ribosomal RNA
Rfam family: Bacterial small subunit ribosomal RNA
Source: RNAcentral
GACGAACGCUGGCGGCGUGCUUAACACAUGCAAGUCGAACGGAAAGGCCCUGCUUUUGUGGGGUGCUCGAGUGGCGAACGGGUGAGUAACACGUGAGUAACCUGCCCUUGACUUUGGGAUAACUUCAGGAAACUGGGGCUAAUACCGGAUAGGAGCUCCUGCUGCAUGGUGGGGGUUGGAAAGUUUCGGCGGUUGGGGAUGGACUCGCGGCUUAUCCGCUUGUUGGUGGGGUAGUGGCUUACCAAGGCUUUGACGGGUAGCCGGCCUGGGAGGGUGACCGGCCACAGUGGGACUGAGAUACGGCCCAGACGCCUACGGGAGGCAGCAGUGGGAAAUAUGGCACAAUGGGAGGAAGCCUGAUGCAGCAGCGCCGCGUGCGGGAUGACGGCUUUCGGGUUGUAAACCGCUUUCGCCUGUGACGAAGCGAGAGUGACGGUAAUGGGUAAAGAAGCACCGGCUAACUACGUG